UCAUUUGUUGCGUGUGUCUGUGCUUUUGUUUUUUUUUUUUUUAAGAAUAAAGUUUAAGUCCUACAUAUUGCAUUAAUCUGUAACAGUUGUACACAAAAUUGAAAGCACAGCCAGAACAAAAAACACAGGAAACUCCAGCAUUUCAUUGGAAAAAGAAACCGAAAGAAAGACAAUAUCAGGAAUAGUGGACUGAAGGAGCCAGGAAAUCAAAUCUUCUGCUCUGGUAGCAGCUAUCAUCUUCCAAGGAGCUUGCGCGAAGAAAUUCGCUUCUCAGGAAAGACAUGCGAGAAACAAAUCUGAUAAAAUCUUGGAGCAGAGACUCAAUUUUAUUCAAGCAGAAUUGUGUAGCCAAGGACUUUCCAUCUCUGUUCUUCAUCCAAGAAACAGAAAUAAUAGUGAAGGAAUAGCUAUUAGGCACAUAAAAUUAAGUUUGAAAAUAUAUAGUUUCUAUUAUAUUUUAUGAACUUACAGAAGCUGGCUAAUGUUUCACCGGUGGUUGCGAUGGUGGUUACAAGCGUGGCGGUGGAGGAGGUGGACUCUUGUUCCAGUACUUCUUUCGCCUAGGUGGUUUCUGGGGGGACCUAGGUGGUUUCUGGGGGUACCUAGGUGGUUUCCAUGGGAACUUAGGUGGUUUCCAUGGGAACUUAGGUGGUAUCCAGGCGUGAACGUAAUAUUUAGGAAAAGACGGAGUUGGUCGAAAUGGGUUAGAUUUCAGCCUUUUGGACACAGCCUUAAACUUAUACGGGAAAUCGUAGGAAGGAACAUUAGCGUCAGCAGAGGAAGGAGCAGAAACAGCCUCGUUAGCCUCAACUACAUGAGUGGUAUGUGAAAGUACGAGGCCGAGGCCGAGGCCGAGGACCAACAUGAAAACUAGUAGGCAAGGAUUGGCAUCCAUUUGUUGAUGGCUAGAGUAGACAAUAUCGUGCUCAAAUAAUGAUUCAUGAAAGUGCAAAUACGCUACUUCAUUAUAUAGGCACCAUUCCAUCCGACCCUCGUGACGACUGAGUGCUAGCCCAUUGGUUAGGCAAGAACCUUUAAGUCAAGGUUGG
RNAcentral lists this long non-coding RNA (1049 nucleotides) under Theobroma cacao (cacao). RNAcentral's name for it is "long non-coding RNA (TCAC_LNC006157)". Lineage: Eukaryota; Viridiplantae; Streptophyta; Magnoliopsida; Malvales; Malvaceae. The record is from RNAcentral.